This 250-nucleotide ribosomal RNA is filed under the name uncultured bacterium. RNAcentral describes it as "partial 16S ribosomal RNA". It matches the Rfam family "Bacterial small subunit ribosomal RNA", at positions 524 to 773 of the family's 1533-position model. The record is from RNAcentral.
AACGUAGGAGGCAAACGUUAUCCGGAGUUACUGGGCGUAAAGCGCGCGCAGGCGGGUCGUUAAGUCUGCCAUGAAAGCUCCCGGCUAAACCGGGAGAGGCUGGUGGAGACUGGCGGUCUGGAGUAGAAGAGAGGGAUGUAGAAUUCCGCAUGUAGUGGUGAAAUGCGUAGAGAUGCGGAGGAAUACCAGAGGCGAAGGCGACAUCCUGGCUUCAAACUGACGCUGAGGCGCGAAAGCAUGGGUAGCGAAC